UAGGGAAUAUUGGGCAAUGGAUGCAAGUCUGACCCAGCCAUGCCGCGUGCCGGAUGAAGGCCCUCAGGGUUGUAAACGGCUUUUAUUCGGGAAGAAGAGCAGGGAUGCGUCCUUGUGUUACGGUACCGAAUGAAUAAGCACCUGCUAACUCCGUGCCAGCAGCCGCGGUAAUACGGAGGGUGCGAGCGUCGUCCGGAUUUAUCGGGUUUCAAGGGUGCGUAGGUGGCUGAAUAAGUCAGUGGUGAAAUACAGCCGCUCAACGGUUGAGGUGCCAUUGAUACUGUGAAGCUUGAAACAAGUGGAGGCUGCCGGAAUGGGUGGUGUGGCGGUGAAAUGCAUAGAUAUCAUCAAGAACACCGAUGGCGAAGGCAGGUGGCUACGUUUGAUUUGACACUGAGGCACGAAAGCAUGGGGAGCAAACA
RNAcentral lists this ribosomal RNA (422 nucleotides) under uncultured bacterium. RNAcentral describes it as "bacterial SSU rRNA". It matches the Rfam family "Bacterial small subunit ribosomal RNA", at positions 355 to 774 of the family's 1533-position model. The record is from RNAcentral.